AGAAAGGCAACCUUUCUUCCUU
This 22-nucleotide microRNA is filed under the name Monodelphis domestica (gray short-tailed opossum). RNAcentral's name for it is "mdo-miR-7351-5p". Lineage: Eukaryota; Metazoa; Chordata; Mammalia; Didelphimorphia; Didelphidae. The record is from miRBase by way of RNAcentral.